CGUGACGCGUCGAUUCUUAGACGAAUCGCGAAUUGGCCAUACAUUUAGUGCAUGUUGAGCUAGCACGCGCGCCGUGGACUUGUGGGCAAUUGGGUGUUCUACAAGGUGCGUGUUCGGUGGUGAACAGAAAAAUCUAGCAGCAUGUCUCGUUCCUACUCGAGAGCGGAUCUGGCCUGCAAGGUCUACGUGGGUAAUCUGGGCGAGUCAGCCGGCCGACGGGAGCUGGAGAAUGCCUUCGUCAAAUUCGGGCCCCUCAAGAAUGUCUGGGUGGCCCGGAACCCGCCUGGCUUUGCUUUCGUUGAGUAUGAAGAUUCAAGAGAUGCUGAAGAUGCUGUGAAAGGCCUGGACGGCCACAUGCUCUGUGGACACCGUGCCGUCGUGGAGAUGUCGACCGGGGAAAAACGUACCAGCCGGCGCGGAGGCCGCAGCGGGCCGCGGUCGGCCAGCUACGACGACAAGUGUUACACCUGCGGGGAGCGGGGUCACUUUGCCCGGGAUUGCCGCAACAGCGGCCGCUACGGAGGUUAUGGUGGUGGACGGUACAGCAACUCGGACAGACGUCGGAGCAGAAGAUCCAGGAUGUCCCAUUCACCUUUAACAUGGCAUUUGAUCGACAUGUGAUGGCCACGUUGCGUCCCAUGUGAUCAGCAUGUGGUCCCUCAGUCAUGUGAUCUGCCUAAGCACCAGUCGGUCAGGUCCACAGUUGCCCGUCGGCCAAAAACCAGCUCAGCCGCAACCCCCCACACAAAAACGCCGCACCGGCGGGCAGGCGGGCGCGUCUCGGCUCCUUAGCAAAUUAGGCCGGCCCAAAGUUGUGCCACCCUGCCUUCGUCACAGCCCAAAAAAAUCCACCCCCCCAUCACGCCUGUUUGUCAGGAAAUGGGCGGUGUUCGUCAAGGUUUUACAUAGGAAGGGGGAAUUCGGCCGAGAGUCGUCUCGUUCAGGCCAGCACGCAUAAAACAGCUCACCAUGGCAACACCCCGGCAAUUUAAAACCAAAAAAUGAUCAUCGCAUUCGUCGAGGCUCAGUUGUCGGCAAUAGAUUCACAAACACCAAAUUGAGCACUCAUCUCUGCUCGUCUGUACGAGGUCCAGAUCCCGAGAUCGCAGCUACUCGCCGCGGAGGUAUUCGGACCACAGCCGCUCCCGGAGCCGCAGUCGCGGUCGAAGCCACAGU
RNAcentral lists this unclassified non-coding RNA (1176 nucleotides) under Acanthaster planci (crown-of-thorns starfish). RNAcentral's name for it is "serine/arginine-rich splicing factor 7-like, transcript variant X4". The record is from RNAcentral. Lineage: Eukaryota; Metazoa; Echinodermata; Asteroidea; Valvatida; Acanthasteridae.